RNAcentral lists this ribosomal RNA (425 nucleotides) under uncultured bacterium. RNAcentral's name for it is "bacterial SSU rRNA". It matches the Rfam family "Bacterial small subunit ribosomal RNA", at positions 355 to 773 of the family's 1533-position model. The record is from RNAcentral.
UGGGGAAUCUUGCACAAUGGGGGAAACCCUGAAGGAGCGACGCCGCGUGGGGGAUGAAGGGCUUCGGCCCGUAAACCCCUGUCAUUUGCGAACAAAUGUCAUGGUUGAACAUUCCAUGGCUUGAUUGUAGCGAAAGAGGAAGGGACGGCUAACUCUGUGCCAGCAGCCGCGGUAAUACAGAGGUCCCAAGCGUUGUUCGGAUUCACUGGGCGUAAAGGGUGCGCAGGUGGGUUGGCAAGUUUGAUGUGAAAGCCCCGGGCUUAACCCGGGAAUGGCAUUGAAUACUGUUGAUCUGGAGGAUUGGAGGGGGGACUGGAAUUCUUGGUGUAGCAGUGAAAUGCGUAGAUAUCAAGAGGAACACCAGUGGCGAAGGCGAGUCCCUGGACAAUUCCUGACACUGAGGCACGAAAGCUAGGGGAGCAAAC